Non-coding RNA from Lolium perenne, 2265 nucleotides. The record is from RefSeq and is a predicted model, not a curated record. Lineage: Eukaryota; Viridiplantae; Streptophyta; Magnoliopsida; Poales; Poaceae.
CGUAAUUUUGGGCAGCCACACCAUCUCAUCUCCGUGACUUUACUUUCGCGCAGACUCCUCUCGCACCCAACGCCUUGUCGAUCUCCUCUCAAUCUCGCCGGCUACCCACACCUCCGCCGCCCCAGACCACCGGCGGCUCCUCUCCUCCACCUCUAGCGCGCCCGUCUCCGCCCUCUUUCUCCGCGACCUCGCCCCAGCUCCGGCGCUCCAUUCUCGCCACCGUACGGCGUUGCUCCGGCACCGUACCUCCUGCAUAAUCCUUCGCCGGCGCGUCUCCAAUCGAGCCUGAAACCUCGCCGCCGCGAAACCCUAGGUUCCCGGACGGCCGGCGUCGUGGACUGCGCAGCCCAGGCCACGCGCGGCACCUCAUCCAUUGUCUUCCGCGUCCCCGACCUCGCCUCGCCGCUCCAUCCCUUCUCCACCGGGUCCUCGCGCCUGGAAGCCGUGGCCGUGUGGAUGGAGCCAUCCAGCGGCGUCGCCGGCACCGCAGGCAGACCGAGGAGGGCUGCUGAUGGUGGCCGCCGUCCGCGGGAUGCAUUGGUAGCACGACGCAGGUGAGACCAAUUCUUUCGAUCUCCCGCACAGAUUUGCAGCUGCAGGAAUUUUGUUUGGGCGAAAAAAUGCAUCUGCUUACUCACGUGUGUAAUCCAUCAGUCAAUAAAUGUUCAGAGUGUUGUGUUGUAACACAAACCAAUCUUGCAGGACAGCCAGGUUAUAUAAAAAUUCGAUCUUGUGCUAGGUUCAGAAGAUGUACGACUAUAUUUACUACAGGAUUGUAGUAGAUUAGUUCAUACUUGAAUCCUAGACAGCUUCGAAAUUUCAGAAUCGCUUUUAAUGAUCUAAUGGGUAGAUAUGCGUGUAGUUUUCAUGCCUAGAACCAAUCUUGUAGUUUUAAGGUUGGGAAUCUUUUCACUUGGUUCAAAUCUGAUAUGAACUAGUAACUGCUAGAUCUAUACUUUUUUUAUCCAUAAUCGCCAGUUAAUGGAUCAUUACUACGCUGUGUGCAAGGGGAGGAAUUUGAGCUAGCAAGGGGAAAUAGCUGUAGCCUUUUUACAACUCACAAGAGCUUGGCCAUUGGUUAUGGUUCCACGCAGAAUAUGCAUGUUUAUUAGGCAAGAUCAGAUUGUGUAGAAUGAAUCUAUUCAUUCUUAUUUUGAUGCAUAAUGUAAUCUCUUGUUUUUAUAGCUUGCUGCCCGUUUAUCUUUUGUGGUUGAGUGUCGUCUCACUGUCUCCACGUCGCCCAGUACGCCGACAAGCACCCAACCUGCUGCUUUCGGGCCGUCGGGGGAGCUGAUGCUAUAACUGGCACCACUCCAGGGGCUUCUACAAGGCCGGCGAGGGCAGCUCCAGCCUCUGAGCCAGGGACGACAAUAUGUGCCUCGUUCGCACUGACCAAGACGACACCGCGCAGUCAUUUCCCUUUGUCCAUUGUCCUCGUUGUGGUCGGCGAUGAGCCAUGGGAGGACGAUUUGAUGUGCAUCUGAUUUGAUAAUUUCCAGUUUGUGGAUUUUGCCAAGGUAAACUCGACGGAAAUGUGAAUGUUCGAGAAGGAGUGAUUCAUGCUUGAAGUAGUGAACAAGAUCCCGGCCCAGUACGAGUGGCGAAGUUGGUAUGUCAGAUUUGGCUUCAUCAUCGUCUACUGACAAUGCAACACUGGUGAUGAUGGAGCAGAAUUGGAGGUGGCCAGGAGGUAGCAGCAGCCUUCGUGUACGUCUUGGUGAGCAUCCCAUUUGGCCCGUCUACUUGGUGGUGAUUUGGAACCUGCUGUUGCAGGUGUUUGUUGGUCUUGUUGCGAACGAACAUUUAGCAUGCUAGUCGAGUUGGACUGCGUGUUUGAAUGCAUCUAGAGGCAGUGAGGAGGCGCCUGCUUUUGGAAGGCGUCGAUAUGUGCAGCAUGAGGCUGGUGAGCAAAAUCACGGGGGUAACUGCCGUUGGUUCCCAUGCAUGUGUUUUCUGUUCCUGGAUGUGUGGUGGUUGAGUGUCUUCGUUCGCCCGCUGUUGCUGUUUGUGUUGGUUAAGUGACUGUAUGCCGGGCUCAGUUGGGUUCCUGUGAUGGGAAAUAAAUAUUCCUUGGAAGAGUAUUGGUAGGAGUGGAAGCCGGCGUCGUGCUGUUUCGUAAAUAAACCAAUUUUGAUGUUUUUUUGUUGUUGUUGUUUUUGUUGAUGCUCCUGUAUGUAAUUUAAAUAAACCAAGCAGGGACACAGCUUUGUGGUGUAGGAGGCACUGGCCACUCAAGAGCCGAGCAAAUUAAGUUUUGUUGGAGAA